Molecule: non-coding RNA, 19 nt
Filed under: Arabidopsis thaliana (thale cress)
Lineage: Eukaryota; Viridiplantae; Streptophyta; Magnoliopsida; Brassicales; Brassicaceae
Source: RNAcentral
UGGUCGUCCUUGAGGUUUC